GAGGGGAUAGCUCAGUGGUAGAACGCAUGCUUAGCAUGGACAAGGUCCUGGGUUCAAUCCCCAGUCCCUCCA
RNAcentral lists this transfer RNA (72 nucleotides) under Camelus bactrianus (Bactrian camel). It matches the Rfam family "tRNA". Rfam says of the family: Transfer RNA (tRNA) molecules are approximately 80 nucleotides in length. Their secondary structure includes four short double-helical elements and three loops (D, anti-codon, and T loops). Lineage: Eukaryota; Metazoa; Chordata; Mammalia; Artiodactyla; Camelidae. RNAcentral also lists the same sequence under 2 other names. The record is from Rfam by way of RNAcentral.